RNAcentral lists this ribosomal RNA (248 nucleotides) under Vibrio parahaemolyticus. RNAcentral's name for it is "partial 16S ribosomal RNA". It matches the Rfam family "Bacterial small subunit ribosomal RNA", at positions 628 to 875 of the family's 1533-position model. Lineage: Bacteria; Pseudomonadati; Pseudomonadota; Gammaproteobacteria; Vibrionales; Vibrionaceae. The record is from RNAcentral.
UGAAACUGGCAGACUAGAGUACUGUAGAGGGGGGUAGAAUUUCAGGUGUAGCGGUGAAAUGCGUAGAGAUCUGAAGGAAUACCGGUGGCGAAGGCGGCCCCCUGGACAGAUACUGACACUCAGAUGCGAAAGCGUGGGGAGCAAACAGGAUUAGAUACCCUGGUAGUCCACGCCGUAAACGAUGUCUACUUGGAGGUUGUGGCCUUGAGCCGUGGCUUUCGGAGCUAACGCGUUAAGUAGACCGCCUG